RNAcentral lists this ribosomal RNA (460 nucleotides) under uncultured bacterium. RNAcentral describes it as "partial 16S ribosomal RNA". It matches the Rfam family "Bacterial small subunit ribosomal RNA", at positions 338 to 795 of the family's 1533-position model. The record is from RNAcentral.
CCUACGGGAGGCAGCAGUGAGGAAUAUUGGUCAAUGGGCGCGAGCCUGAACCAGCCAAGUCGCGUGAAGGAUGACUUCCCUACGGGUUGUAAACUUCUUUUAUAAAGGAAUAGAGUGAGGCACGUGUGCCUUUUUGUCUGUACUUUAUGAAUAAGGAGCGGCUAACUCCGUGCCAGCAGCCGCGGUAAUACGGAGGAUCCGAGCGUUAUCCGGAUUUAUUGGGUUUAAAGGGAGCGUAGAUGGGUUGUUAAGUCAGUUGUGAAAGUUUGCGGCUCAACCGUAAAAUUGCAAUUGAUACUGGCAGCCUGGAGUACAGUAGAGGUAGGCGGAAUUCGUGGUGUAGCGGUGAAAUGCUUAGAUAUCACGAAGAACUCCGAUUGCGAAGGCAGCCUACUAAACUGCCACUGACAUUGAUGCUCGAAAGUGUGGGUAUCAAACAGGAUUAGAUACCCUAGUAGUC